AACGAACGCUGGCGGCAUGCCUAACACAUGCAAGUCGAACGAGACCUUCGGGUCUAGUGGCGCACGGGUGCGUAACGCGUGGGAACCUGCCCUUAGGUUCGGAAUAACUCCCCGAAAGGGGUGCUAAUACCGGAUAAUGUCUUCGGACCAAAGAUUUAUCGCCUUUGGAUGGGCCCGCGUUGGAUUAGCUAGUUGGUAGGGUAAAAGCCUACCAAGGCGACGAUCCAUAGCUGGUCUGAGAGGAUGAUCAGCCACACUGGGACUGAGACACGGCCCAGACUCCUACGGGAGGCAGCAGUGGGGAACAUUGGACAAUGGGCGAAAGCCUGAUCCAGCAAUGCCGCGUGAGUAAUGAAGGCCUUAGGGUUGUAAAGCUCUUUUACCCGGGAUGAUAAUGACAGUACCGGGAGAAUAAGCUCCGGCUAACUCCGUG
RNAcentral lists this ribosomal RNA (433 nucleotides) under uncultured bacterium. RNAcentral describes it as "partial 16S ribosomal RNA". It matches the Rfam family "Bacterial small subunit ribosomal RNA", at positions 29 to 507 of the family's 1533-position model. The record is from RNAcentral.